RNAcentral lists this unclassified non-coding RNA (299 nucleotides) under Clitocybe sp. Its description in RNAcentral is "partial contains 5.8S ribosomal RNA, internal transcribed spacer 2, and large subunit ribosomal RNA". The stretch from base 1 to 52 matches the Rfam family "5.8S ribosomal RNA", at positions 103 to 154 of the family's 154-position model. RNAcentral also lists the same sequence under 1 other name. Lineage: Eukaryota; Fungi; Basidiomycota; Agaricomycetes; Agaricales; Clitocybaceae. The record is from RNAcentral.
AACGCACCUUGCGCUCCUUGGUAUUCCGAGGAGCAUGCCUGUUUGAGUGUCAUUAAAUUCUCAACCCUUUCAGCUUUUGCGAGUUGAUUUGGCUUGGAUGUGGGGGUUGCGGGCUUCUCAGAAGUCGGCUCCUCUUAAAUGCAUUAGCGGAACCUUUGUGGACCAGCUUUGGUGUGAUAAUUAUCUACGCCAUGGCCGUGAAGCAGCUUUACAUGGGGUUCAGCUUCUAACCGUCCAUUGACUUGGACAAUUUCUGACAUUUUGACCUCAAAUCAGGUAGGACUACCCGCUGAACUUAA